Molecule: ribosomal RNA, 440 nt
Filed under: uncultured bacterium
Lineage: Bacteria
Description: partial 16S ribosomal RNA
Rfam family: Bacterial small subunit ribosomal RNA
Source: RNAcentral
CCUACGGGGGGCAGCAGUGGGGAAUAUUGCACAAUGGGGGAAACCCUGAUGCAGCGACGCCGCGUGAGGGAAGAAGUAUCUCGGUACGUAAAGCUCUAUCAGCAGGGAAGAAAAUGAAGGUACCUGACUAAGAAGCACCGGCUAACUACGUGCCAGCAGCCGCGGUAAUACGUAGGGGGAAAGCGUUAUCCGGAAUUACUGGGUGUAAAGGGAGCGUAGACGGCAGCUCAAGUAUGGAGUGAAAUCCCGGGGCUUAACCCCGGAACUGCUUUGGAAACUGGGCGGCUGGAGUGCGGGAGGGGUAAGCGGAAUUCCUAGUGUAGCGGUGAAAUGCGUAGAUAUUAGGAGGAACACCAGUGGCGAAGGCGGCUUACUGGACUGUAACUGACGUUGAGGCUCGAAAGCGUGGGGAGCAAACAGGAUUAGAUACCCGAGUAGUC